RNAcentral lists this ribosomal RNA (482 nucleotides) under uncultured bacterium. Its description in RNAcentral is "partial 16S ribosomal RNA". It matches the Rfam family "Bacterial small subunit ribosomal RNA", at positions 30 to 507 of the family's 1533-position model. The record is from RNAcentral.
AUUGAACGCUGGCGGCAUGCUUUACACAUGCAAGUCGAACGGUAACAGCACUUCGGUGGCUGACGAGUGGCGAACGGGUGAGUAAUACAUCGGAACGUGCCUAGUAGUGGGGGAUAACUACUCGAAAGAGUAGCUAAUACCGCAUGAGAUCUAAGGAUGAAAGCAGGGGACCUUCGGGCCUUGCGCUACUAGAGCGGCUGAUGGCAGAUUAGGUAGUUGGUGGGAUAAAAGCUUACCAAGCCGACGAUCUGUAGCUGGUCUGAGAGGACGACCAGCCACACUGGGACUGAGACACGGCCCAGACUCCUACGGGAGGCAGCAGUGGGGAAUUUUGGACAAUGGGCGCAAGCCUGAUCCAGCAAUGCCGCGUGCAGGAUGAAGGCCUUCGGGUUGUAAACUGCUUUUGUACGGAACGAAAAGCCCUCUUCUAAUACGGGAGGGUCAUGACGGUACCGUAAGAAUAAGCACCGGCUAACUACGUG